This 254-nucleotide ribosomal RNA is filed under the name uncultured bacterium. RNAcentral's name for it is "partial 16S ribosomal RNA". It matches the Rfam family "Bacterial small subunit ribosomal RNA", at positions 524 to 776 of the family's 1533-position model. The record is from RNAcentral.
UACGGGGGGAGCAAGCGUUGUUCGGAUUUACUGGGCGUAAAGGGCGCGUAGGCGGUCAGCACAAGUCAGUUGUGAAAUCUCCGGGCUUAACUCGGAAAGGUCAACUGAUACUGUGCGACUAGAGUGCGGAAGGGGCAACUGGAAUUCUCGGUGUAGCGGUGAAAUGCGUAGAUAUCGAGAGGAACACCUGCGGCGAAGGCGGGUUGCUGGGCCGACACUGACGCUGAUGCGCGAAAGACAGGGGAGCAAACGGG